UCCAAGCAGUAAGGCCGAGUGGUAGGCAAAUCCGCCACUCAUCAAGCUGAGCUGUGAUGGGGAGAGGAAAUUGUUUCCUCGAGUCGUUGAUUUCACACUGCCGAGAAAAGCCUCUAGCCAGGAUCCGGGUGCCCGUACCGGAAACCGACACAGGUAGGCGAGGAGAGAAUCCUAAGGUGAGCGAGAGAACCCUCGUUAAGGAACUCGGCAAAAUGACCCCGUAACU
Molecule: ribosomal RNA, 226 nt
Filed under: Astrosyne radiata
Lineage: Eukaryota; Bacillariophyta; Fragilariophyceae; Cyclophorales; Cyclophoraceae
Description: partial Bacterial large subunit ribosomal RNA
Rfam family: Bacterial large subunit ribosomal RNA
Source: RNAcentral